AUUCGUCCACGACAAUCAAGGACAGUGUGACAUCCAAUGACGUUUACUACCCUGACCUCAGCACUGCCCCAGAGCCAUCUGAGCCAAAGGGUACAACUACUUCCUUUCCUUGGAACAACAUAGACAUCGCCCUGAGCCAAAGCACGCAGAAAGUGAUCUCUGAAGUUGAAGCGACGUACUCGGCCUUUGUGAAACCUGACGUUCAGAAAGACCCUAGAAGCAGCACUGUACCAACUCUCGGUGAGUCCCCG
This is a non-coding RNA of Lepisosteus oculatus (spotted gar), 251 nucleotides long. NCBI's taxonomy places the organism in Eukaryota, Metazoa, Chordata, Actinopteri, Semionotiformes, Lepisosteidae. The record is from RefSeq and is a predicted model, not a curated record.